Molecule: long non-coding RNA, 359 nt
Filed under: Ananas comosus (pineapple)
Lineage: Eukaryota; Viridiplantae; Streptophyta; Magnoliopsida; Poales; Bromeliaceae
Description: long non-coding RNA (ACOM_LNC042221)
Source: RNAcentral
UGUGUAAGUCAUAGAGUUUGUAUUAAGGUUGUGGAAAAUGUAAUUUUCUUUUAUUGGAUCGAUCAUGCAGGAGAUUGUCGUUUGGUGAUUACGAUGAUCUUCUUUUCAUUGUUUCUGAGUUGUGUACGAGCAUUGUAGUAUAUUUUAUCACGAAAUCGCCAAACGGGGAGAUUGUUAAGGAUUUUUCUAGGUUGGCGGAUUUCGUAAAGUUGGAUGGAGUCUUGAAGAGUUGAUCGUGGAAGUUUGAAGAAAAGAUUCAAAUUGAAGAACAAAGACGCAUUCGGAAAGCUCGGCACCUCAGGUAUGAAGAAUAGAUCAUUUGUGGUGAAGUUAUUUAAUUGGAAUAAGUUCAGAAGACU